GUGGGGAAUUUUGGACAAUGGGCGAAAGCCUGAUCCAGCCAUGCCGCGUGCAGGAUGAAGGCCUUCGGGUUGUAAACUGCUUUUGUACGGAACGAAAAGACUUCUUCUAAUACAGGAGGUCCAUGACGGUACCGUAAGAAUAAGCACCGGCUAACUACGUACCAGCAGCCGCGGUAAUACGUAGGGUGCAAGCGUUAAUCGGAAUUACUGGGCGUAAAGCGUGCGCAGGCGGUUAUAUAAGACAGAUGUGAAAUCCCCGGGCUCAACCUGGGAACUGCAUUUGUGACUGUAUAGCUAGAGUACGGUAGAGGGGGAUGGAAUUCCGCGUGUAGCAGUGAAAUGCGUAGAUAUGCGGAGGAACACCGAUGGCGAAGGCAAUCCCCUGGACCUGUACUGACGCUCAUGCACGAAAGCGUGGGGAGCAAACAGGAUUAGAAACCCUGGUAGUCC
This 450-nucleotide ribosomal RNA is filed under the name uncultured bacterium. Its description in RNAcentral is "partial 16S ribosomal RNA". It matches the Rfam family "Bacterial small subunit ribosomal RNA", at positions 354 to 796 of the family's 1533-position model. The record is from RNAcentral.